This 484-nucleotide ribosomal RNA is filed under the name uncultured bacterium. Its description in RNAcentral is "partial 16S ribosomal RNA". It matches the Rfam family "Bacterial small subunit ribosomal RNA", at positions 30 to 507 of the family's 1533-position model. The record is from RNAcentral.
AUUGAACGCUGGCGGCAGGCCUAACACAUGCAAGUCGAGCGGAUGAAGGGAGCUUGCUCCUGGAUUCAGCGGCGGACGGGUGAGUAAUGCCUAGGAAUCUGCCUGGUAGUGGGGGAUAACGUCCGGAAACGGGCGCUAAUACCGCAUACGUCCUGAGGGAGAAAGUGGGGGAUCUUCGGACCUCACGCUAUCAGAUGAGCCUAGGUCGGAUUAGCUAGUUGGUGGGGUAAAGGCCUACCAAGGCGACGAUCCGUAACUGGUCUGAGAGGAUGAUCAGUCACACUGGAACUGAGACACGGUCCACACUCCUAUGGGAGGCAGCAGUGGGGAAUAUUGGACAAUGGGCGAAAGCCUGAUCCAGCCAUGCCGCGUGUGUGAAGAAGGUCUUCGGAUUGUAAAGCACUUUAAGUUGGGAGGAAGGGCAGUAAGUUAAUACCUUGCUGUUUUGACGUUACCAACAGAAUAAGCACCGGCUAACUUCGUG